This 254-nucleotide ribosomal RNA is filed under the name uncultured bacterium. RNAcentral's name for it is "partial 16S ribosomal RNA". It matches the Rfam family "Bacterial small subunit ribosomal RNA", at positions 524 to 776 of the family's 1533-position model. The record is from RNAcentral.
UACGUAGGGGGCAAGCGUUGUUCGGAAUGACUGGGCGUAAAGGGUGCGUAGGCGGUGCAGCAAGUUAGAAGUGAAAUGCCUAGAGCUUAACUCAGGUGCUGCUUCUAAAACUGCUAUACUUGAGUGCAGUAGAGGAAAGUGGAAUUCCUAGUGUAGCGGUGGAAUGCGUAGAUAUUAGGAGGAACAUCAGUGGCGAAGGCGACUUUCUGGACUGUAACUGACGCUGAGGCACGAAAGUGUGGGGAGCAAACAGG